ACGAGUGGCGGACGGGUGAGUAAUGCUUGGGAACUUGCCUUUGCGAGGGGGAUAACAGUUGGAAACGACUGCUAAUACCGCAUAAUGUCUUCGGACCAAACGGGGCUUCGGCUCCGGCGCAAAGAGAGGCCCAAGUGAGAUUAGCUAGUUGGUAAGGUAAAGGCUUACCAAGGCGACGAUCUCUAGCUGUUCUGAGAGGAAGAUCAGCCACACUGGGACUGAGACACGGCCCAGACUCCUACGGGAGGCAGCAGUGGGGAAUAUUGCACAAUGGGGGAAACCCUGAUGCAGCCAUGCCGCGUGUGUGAAGAAGGCCUUCGGGUUGUAAAGCACUUUCAGUUGUGAGGAAAAGUUAGUAGUUAAUACCUGCUAGCCGUGACGUUAACAACAGAAGAAGCACCGGCUAACUCCGUGCCAGCAGCCGCGGUAAUACGGAGGGUGCGAGCGUUAAUCGGAAUUACUGGGCGUAAAGCGCACGCAGGCGGUUUGUUAAGCUAGAUGUGAAAGCCCCGGGCUCAACCUGGGAUGGUCAUUUAGAACUGGCAGACUAGAGUCUUGGAGAGGGGAGUGGAAUUCCAGGUGUAGCGGUGAAAUGCGUAGAUAUCUGGAGGAACAUCAGUGGCGAAGGCGACUCCCUGGCCAAAGACUGACGCUCAUGUGCGAAAGUGUGGGUAGCGAACAGGAUUAGAUACCCUGGUAGUCCACACCGUAAACGCUGUCUACUAGCUGUGUGUGUCUUUAAGACGUGCGUAGCGAAGCUAACGCGCUAAGUAGACCGCC
RNAcentral lists this ribosomal RNA (780 nucleotides) under uncultured Alteromonas sp. Its description in RNAcentral is "bacterial SSU rRNA". It matches the Rfam family "Bacterial small subunit ribosomal RNA", at positions 91 to 873 of the family's 1533-position model. Lineage: Bacteria; Pseudomonadati; Pseudomonadota; Gammaproteobacteria; Alteromonadales; Alteromonadaceae. The record is from RNAcentral.